GGAUUGCUUUCGGGGUCCGAGCGGCGACGGGUGAGUAACACGUGAGCAACCUGCCCCUGACUCUGGGAUAAGCGGUGGAAACGCCGUCUAAUACCGGAUACGACCUUCCGCCUCAUGGUGGAGGGUGGAAAGUUUUUUCGGUCAGGGAUGGGCUCGCGGCCUAUCAGCUUGUUGGUGGGGUAACGGCCUACCAAGGCGAUUACGGGUAGCCGGCCUGAGAGGGCGACCGGCCACACUGGGACUGAGACACGGCCCAGACUCCUGCGGGAGGCAGCAGUGGGGAAUAUUGCGCAAUGGGCGAAAGCCUGACGCAGCGACGCCGCGUGGGGGAUGACGGCCUUCGGGUUGUAAACCUCUUUUACCACCAACGCAGGCUCCGGGUUCUCUCGGGGUUGACGGUAGGUGGGGAAUAAGGACCGGCUAACUACGUGCCAGCAGCCGCGGUAAUACGUAGGGUCCGAGCGUUGUCCGGAAUUAUUGGGCGUAAAGAGCUCGUAGGCGGCGUGUCGCGUCUGCUGUGAAAGACCGGGGCUUAACUCCGGUUCUGCAGUGGAUACGGGCAUGCUAGAGGUAGGUAGGGGAGACUGGAAUUCCUGGUGUAGCGGUGAAAUGCGCAGAUAUCAGGAGGAACACCGGUGGCGAAGGCGGGUCUCUGGGCCUUACCUGACGCUGAGGAGCGAAAGCAUGGGGAGCGAACAGGAUUAGAUACCCUGGUAGUCCAUGCCGUAACGUUGGGCGCUAGGUGUGGGGACUUUCCACGGUUUCCGCGCCGUAGCUAACGCAUUAAGCGCCCCGCCUGGGGAGUACGGCCGCAAGGCUAAAACUCAAAGGAAUUUGACGGGGGCCCGCACAAGCGGCGGAGCAUGUUUGCUUAAUUUCGACGCACGCGAAGGAUCUUUACGAGAUUUGACUAUCACCCCCGGGUGGAACCAUGGA
Molecule: ribosomal RNA, 936 nt
Filed under: Nocardiopsis alba
Lineage: Bacteria; Bacillati; Actinomycetota; Actinomycetes; Streptosporangiales; Nocardiopsidaceae
Description: bacterial SSU rRNA
Rfam family: Bacterial small subunit ribosomal RNA
Source: RNAcentral